AAAAACAAAAAGAAGUUACCAGUCGGCGACGGACACCGGACUCGGCUUUGCGAAAGAGAAGGAGGCGUCGAACGCCGAUGUAAUCGGGAUCGGAGUCAGCUGUCGCCGGUUGAAGCAUGCAACUGAACAGUUCUGGAUCUAUUACAUUCUCUUUGUUUUCUUUAUUUUUAUUGUCUUUAUGAUUAUUAUUAUUAUCGCUAAUGUUGUCGUUAUUAGCUUCUAUCGGUGAUGUUGAUGUUGAGCUACUUAGCUGCUCCGCCAUUCCACCGGACACGCUGUGUUACAUCAUCAGCGGCCGUUCGUACGGAGAAAGAUCUGGCAAGCGUGUUGAUCAGAAUCAGGGGUUCUGGUU
RNAcentral lists this long non-coding RNA (352 nucleotides) under Citrus sinensis (sweet orange). Its description in RNAcentral is "long non-coding RNA (CSIN_LNC003400)". Lineage: Eukaryota; Viridiplantae; Streptophyta; Magnoliopsida; Sapindales; Rutaceae. The record is from RNAcentral.